RNAcentral lists this transfer RNA (76 nucleotides) under Actinomycetes bacterium. RNAcentral's name for it is "tRNA-Lys". It matches the Rfam family "tRNA". From Rfam's summary of the family: Transfer RNA (tRNA) molecules are approximately 80 nucleotides in length. The record is from RNAcentral. Lineage: Bacteria; Bacillati; Actinomycetota; Actinomycetes.
GCGCCAUUAGCUCAGUUGGCAGAGCAGAGGACUUUUAAUCCUAAGGUCGUAGGUUCGAUUCCUACAUGGCGCACCA